This 801-nucleotide transfer RNA is filed under the name uncultured bacterium. RNAcentral's name for it is "partial may contain 16S ribosomal RNA, 16S-23S ribosomal RNA intergenic spacer, and 23S ribosomal RNA". The stretch from base 277 to 350 matches the Rfam family "tRNA". The record is from RNAcentral.
CCGGAAGGUGCGGCUGGAUCACCUCCUUUCUAGGGAGAGGGAGCAGGACCCAUCGGUGAGGGGACUGCGUCAACAACCCUCCCAGGUUGAUCGCUCGAUCGCUACCGUCGCCCCUGCUGGGUGGGAGCGGCGUCCGUGCUUCGGUACGGGCGAGGUCGAGCGACCCAGCACCAAGCACCGAGAACUCGCUCGCAUGGGAUCAUCUGCCACUCUUCACGUGUCAGGGUGCAGCCGCCCGCCGGGACCGAUGCGGUCCUGGCGGAACGGAACCCCGACGGGCGUUUAGCUCAGCUGGUUAGAGCACUGCCCUGAUAAGGCAGAGGUCUCUGGUUCGAGUCCAGAAACGCCCACCAUCCAAGCUCUCCGCAUUCGCAGCCGCGGGGGGACGUAGCUCAGCUGGCAGAGCAUCUCCUUUGCAAGGAGAGGGUCAGGAGUUCGAGUCUCCUCGUCUCCACCACUCUGCAGGCGCCACAGACAUAACAAGCACCUCCCGCCCUCCGAAACGGCUACGGCCGCGUUCAGAGGGCGCGACGCAAGUCCCGAGGUCCACUCGUCCAUGGGCUCGAUACCGUAUCGAGGUCAUGGACCAGCUGAUCGCUGGAAACGGCAGACGAUGUGUCGGCCGGCCGAUCCCGCCAGGGACGGCACGCACCUUUCCAAGUGAAGAUGACGAUCGGAAGAUCGAGUCUCUUUUUGUAAAACUUCNAUUUCUGCCGAAUGAACAAGUGAAGAUCCCGAUCCCACCUGACGCACUCGCCAUCGGGUGAGUUGCUGAGGGGGGUCAAGCCACACAGGGCACGG